CAGGUGCAGGCAGAGGUCUGUUUGGAAAACACAUCAUGGGACCCACCCUGAUCCCUAGCACUGGAACCUGAGCUGGAGGCUGGGCACCUAUGAUGGGCACCUGAAGCUCUUGGAAUCUGCUGAGGGGAUUAUGCAGGCAGCCCCAUGUGGAACAUGCUCGAGUUCAGGUGUCAUCAGCUGCACUGAGAGCCACGCAGUAUGACUCUGCAGAUGACCCCAGCAUAGGCCAUCAGAAGGUCGAAGAGAAGGUCCACUGCAGAUCCCAGCUCUGCCUCUGACAGUCACAUCCCCCUGCCAGCUUCAUCAUCUCGGAAUGAGGUCUCUGUGGCCAGGAUAUUACAAAGCACAGCUAUAAUCCCUCAGCUUCUGCUAAAUCAGUUUGUGUUGAUGACUGACCAAGUGCAGGCCCAGACGUAGCCAAACACUGUGCAGACAGCUUCCCAGGGUGGCAGUGACCUGGGUAGGCAGAAUUGGCACUACCUGAAGGACACGUACAAAACACUGUCUUCAUGCAGGGUAUUUUAGAAAUGCAAGUAACCCUCAUCUUGAAGUUGCUGGAGAGCCCAUCUUGGCUUUGCAAUCUGACCAGGACCAAGAUGUUUCCUUUUUGCCACCCUAGAACCAAGCGACAGAGUCUUCUGGACCCUACUGCACCAGGAAAACAGGAUAGACUCCUCUGGGAAGGUUGUUUCAUGCCUGGCACCUUUGGCUUGUGACCUGAAGGGGAACUGAUUGUAUUUUAUCUGCUGAAGAAGAAAAGAUUUCUGAAACUUCCGCAUUGUGCACCCAAAUGACAGACCCCUUUCCUGUCUGAGGCUCCCAGACUGAAUCUCGGUGGGGACUUAAGUGCAGAUGGCUAGGCCUGUGCCACAUUCCCCAGCCCCGCAGGCCUGACCCAGGACACCUUGUGGACAGGGUGCAGGCCUGCCAGCAACUUGUUUUGUUCAAGACAGACUGUAUUCGAGUCUCCCCUCCCGAUCGCUUAUUAGAAGCUCUGAAAUCUUUACUAGACUUGCAUAUUUGUUUCCCUUUUGCUUUUAUAUAAAAUAUAGUUUAUGGUGUUAUAUUUAUUUUUAACUGAGAUACUGUACAUAUGUAAAUAACUUUUUUUUUAUUUUUAGAUAAGAUCUCACUAAGUUGCUCAAGCUGGCCUUGAACUUGGGAUCCAUCUGCCUCAGCCUCCCAAGCAGCCGGGAUUACAGGCUUUGUGCACUGCCAUGCCCAGCUUGUAAAUAGCUCUUGACAGGAAGAAAAUAUAUGAAUGUAAUAUUAGCUUCCUAUCAGUGAACUGAACAAAUAUAUCAUUGAAAUUUAUGCUGCAAUCUGAGUUGCUGCAAACAUAGCCCAGUUUGUUUACUUUUGAAAAAUGUGACAAAGCUACUAAGAAUGAUUUAUGGCAGGCUUUCCACUACAGUGGGUGGGACUUCUUAAGCACUCACCCUCUGCUUCUCCCCGAACUCUCCUCACAAAGAUGGCGUUGGUGUAAAGCUGAAGGAUUUUUCAUUUUUGUACAGAUACAUUGUCAACGUUUAAGAACUUGAGAGGGAAGUAGAUAACUGAGAUGCAUGGAUAUCAACUUUCAUGCUUUAGAAUACUAAAAGAUAGGAAACCAUAGUUCUGAUCAGAACUUGCCCACAAAUACCAGUGAUUCUGGGGGGUUAAAUCAUGUACUCUUCAAAUUGAUGUAAGUACACCGAACUUAGAUUUCAUGCUUUUAAAAUUUAGACUCAAAUGCUUUAGAAUUUAAACAGUUUUUUCAUUAGUUAAUAAUUCAAGGUUCUGUAAACAUUUGAUUAAACUCUGCAUGCAUAUGUCAUUGUUCUUGUUUUUCUGUUUAUCUUCUCAACAAUGGGCCCAGAGAAAAGGAAGAGUAGCCCAUGGGGGAUUUAGGAACCAGCUGCCAAGGGCCCUCUCUUCCUCUCUGAUCUUUUUUUGGUCUUUUUCUUCUUUUUU
RNAcentral lists this long non-coding RNA (1953 nucleotides) under Ictidomys tridecemlineatus (thirteen-lined ground squirrel). Its description in RNAcentral is "lncRNA (ENSSTOG00000032046.1)". The record is from RNAcentral. Lineage: Eukaryota; Metazoa; Chordata; Mammalia; Rodentia; Sciuridae.